AUUUAAGUAGUUUAUAAAAAUAAAGAAUUGUGGUUUCUUAGAUGAUAAUUUAUCCUUAAAUU
Molecule: transfer RNA, 62 nt
Filed under: Cuerna sp. EMHAU-2015-Zz052311
Lineage: Eukaryota; Metazoa; Arthropoda; Insecta; Hemiptera; Cicadellidae
Description: tRNA-His
Source: RNAcentral